GACGAACGCUGGCGGCGUGCUUAACACAUGCAAGUCGAACGGAAAGGCCCUGCUUUUGUGGGGUGCUCGAGUGGCGAACGGGUGAGUAACACGUGAGUAACCUGCCCUUGACUUUGGGAUAACUUCAGGAAACUGGGGCUAAUACCGGAUAGGAGCUCCUGCUGCAUGGUGGGGGUUGGAAAGUUUCGGCGGUUGGGGAUGGACUCGCGGCUUAUCAGCUUGUUGGUGGGGUAGUGGCUUACCAAGGCUUUGACGGGUAGCCGGCCUGAGAGGGUGAACGGCCACAUUGGGACUGAGAUACGGCCCAGACUCCUACGGGAGGCAGCAGUGGGGAAUAUUGCACAAUGGGCGGAAGCCUGAUGCAGAAACGCCGCGUGCGGGAUGACGGCCUUCGGGUUGUAAACCGCUUUAGCCUGUGACGAAGCGUGAGUGACGGUAAUGGGUAAAGAAGCACCGGCUAACUACGUG
This 468-nucleotide ribosomal RNA is filed under the name uncultured bacterium. RNAcentral's name for it is "partial 16S ribosomal RNA". It matches the Rfam family "Bacterial small subunit ribosomal RNA", at positions 28 to 507 of the family's 1533-position model. The record is from RNAcentral.